RNAcentral lists this ribosomal RNA (492 nucleotides) under Acinetobacter baumannii. RNAcentral's name for it is "bacterial SSU rRNA". It matches the Rfam family "Bacterial small subunit ribosomal RNA", at positions 193 to 666 of the family's 1533-position model. The record is from RNAcentral. Lineage: Bacteria; Pseudomonadati; Pseudomonadota; Gammaproteobacteria; Moraxellales; Moraxellaceae.
UCGCAAGACCAAAGAGGGGGACCUUCGGGCCUCUUGCCAUCAGAUGUGCCCAGAUGGGAUUAGCUUGUUGGUGAGGUAACGGCUCACCAAGGCGACGAUCCCUAGCUGGUCUGAGAGGAUGACCAGCCACACUGGAACUGAGACACGGUCCAGACUCCUACGGGAGGCAGCAGUGGGGAAUAUUGCACAAUGGGCGCAAGCCUGAUGCAGCCAUGCCGCGUGUAUGAAGAAGGCCUUCGGGUUGUAAAGUACUUUCAGCGGGGAGGAAGGUGUUGUGGUUAAUAACCGCAGCAAUUGACGUUACCCGCAGAAGAAGCACCGGCUAACUGCGUGCCAGCAGCCGCGGUAAUACGGAGGGUGCAAGCGUUAAUCGGAAUUACUGGGCGUAAAGCGCACGCAGGCGGUCUGUCAAGUCGGAUGUGAAAUCCCCGGGCUCAACCUGGGAACUGCAUUCGAAACUGGCAGGCUUGAGUCUUGUAGAGGGGGGUAGAA